This 484-nucleotide ribosomal RNA is filed under the name uncultured bacterium. RNAcentral's name for it is "partial 16S ribosomal RNA". It matches the Rfam family "Bacterial small subunit ribosomal RNA", at positions 30 to 507 of the family's 1533-position model. The record is from RNAcentral.
AUUGAACGCUGGCGGCAGGCCUAACACAUGCAAGUCGAGCGGAUGAAGGGAGCUUGCUCCUGGAUUCAGCGGCGGACGGGUGAGUAAUGCCUAGGAAUCUGCCUGGUAGUGGGGGAUAACGUCCGGAAACGGGCGCUAAUACCGCAUACGUCCUGAGGGUGAAAGUGGGGGAUCUUCGGACCUCACGCUAUCAGAUGAGCCUAGGUCGGAUUAGCUAGUUGGUGGGGUAAAGGCCUACCAAGGCGACGAUCCGUAACUGGUCUGAGAGGAUGAUCAGUCACACUGGAACUGAGACACGGUCCAGACUCCUAAGGGAGGCAGCAGUGGGGAAUAGUGGACAAUGGGCGGAAGCCUGAUCCAGCCAUGCCGCGUGUGUGAAGAAGGUCUUCGGAUUGUAAAGCACUUUAAGUUGGGAGGAAGGGCAGUAAGUUAAUACCUUGCUGUUUUGACGUUACCAACAGAAUAAGCACCGGCUAACUUCGUG